RNAcentral lists this long non-coding RNA (594 nucleotides) under Mustela putorius furo (domestic ferret). RNAcentral describes it as "lncRNA (ENSMPUG00000024709.1)". The record is from RNAcentral. Lineage: Eukaryota; Metazoa; Chordata; Mammalia; Carnivora; Mustelidae.
AGGACAGCAAGCCCUGGAGCUGGUCAUGAAAGAAAACCAACUGUACCUUCUAUUGUAUGAAGUUCAAAACUGGGCAGAACUAGUCUACACUGUUUGAAAUUUUACUGAAGCGAAUCAACCACACAGAAGAGUGUACCACCGACUAAGGGAUACUUGGGGUGCUGGGAACCAGACUUCCUUCGAAGAUGAAUUCAGACUCCUGGCUUGAAGAAAGCAGAAAUAUUUGUUCAAGAUAUAAAAGAGAUGUGAUGUAUCCAAUGGGAAAGAUGUAACAGACAUCAGUGGGGGAAGUAAAGUCUCAGAAGUGGCACUGGUUGUGGAAACAUGUGGAAAUGGUGACAGAGAGCAGAGGGCCCCCCAGCCUGCCUCUGGAGAGAGGUGUAAGGGAUCAUAUGAAGCAAUUCCAGCUCGUGAGAGUUCCGCCUGAAAAUGGGGAAAGGUCUAUUUCCCAGGAGCAUCCGUUCCUGCAAAAGGUUCCACUUGGAGGAAUUCACUAAUGAUACGUAUUGCUAAAUUCAAUUCCAAACUGCCUUCACAAAUUUAUACUCUCCUCACUGUCUGUCUCAGCCCAAUCUCACCAGCAUUAAAUAUGAG